AGGUAAUGUAACAGGCCAGAGUCUCAGGUGACUUUAGGAUGCUAUUAAUAACCUGUCAGGCAUAACAUUGUUCUUUGAAACCAGAAGCUAUUGGCUGUGGCAGCUGAUGGCUCCGAUGUGGCUUGGUAGUUCCUGCAGAUACCACUGAAACCCGUUAUCUUUCUAGUCUUGCUGCUGCCAUCUUGAGAGAGAGGUUGUGGAGCAGGGUGGAACCCAGUGUGACUGCUCUGUGGAUGGGGGGAAAUUAAUUGUUUAGCUGGACUGUUUUCCUAAUCCACCUUUUCUCCCUUUGUGAAAUCCCGUAUAAGUCACACGUGACUAAGUUUGUAACAAAGCAAGCAGCUUUCUCAUUGGGGAGUUCCCUGGCCACCAGCAGGAGAUGUCCCAGCGCUGCAGGGCUGCCAAUGGUAGGGGUCCUUGGAUCUGUCCAGGCAAUGCACUUUUUAAAGAAAAGUGUAUUUAAGUGUUGAUUUCAGAGAAAACUGUUCGCAGCCUUGUUGCAAAGUGAUCAGGUGAGGCAUCUCAUUUUAGUGUCCUGUGGGCUGGGGGUGAGACAGUUCCCCAGUAGCAGCCAUACUAGGCCAGAAGGCUAGUGCCCAUGGGACCUGCUUGUUUUUGAACUAUGGUAAUGUAGACUGCUGAAACCCUGUUACAGCUCCAAUGUCCUUCUGUUCUAAUGAUUCCCAUUUCUCAAGCAAGACUCUGCCUCUUUUCCUGUCCUGUGAGAAACUGGAUGGAAGUUGCCAUGCCUAUCCGUAGCUUCCUAGAGGAAGGGAGCUUGUCUAAGCCAUGAGCAUCGCUUUGCCAUCAGCAGAGGUGCAAAUGCUUCAAGGAUGGUCUUAGCAUUGCUAGCUUGAGCACAGCCUAGUCAGUCUGCAUGGUGUGAUUGGGUGGACCAUAUCUAAGUGCACGAGAACAUCUGACUUUGAUUUUGCGGCCAACUGAUUAGCUGUGCGGAUAAGAUGGUAUGAUUUCUGUGGCUUUAGAUGAAGUGGCUGUAUCCACUGAGCAGCAGGAAAUGUGUGCGUGCCUGUCUACUUGGUAGCCUUCUUUGAUCAUGUGUAAACUGCAUCUGAGUUCAGGUCAAUCGUACUCUUUCCCUGUUGGUGUGUGAACACACUUGGGCUUCUGAUUAAUCACUAAUAUUUGCAGAGGUUUGACUGUCAGGCAGUAACUCGGUCUGCUACAAGUCAGCUUCAGCAUAUUAGGAGAAUGUUAGAGUUGACUAGAAAUAAGCAAUUUCUUAAAUGAGCGUGAGCAUUUAUAAGAGUGCUUGUGCCUCUGAAACUUAGGUAGCUGAAGCCUAAAAUUUGCAUCUAAGCAACUGAAUAUAAUCAAAUAUGUGAAUAGUGCACAAUAUUUUUUUUCUCCCUGUUAGGGAAAUUGGGAAUUGCUAGAAGAAUUGCAAGAUGCAUUAGGAAUUGGUGUGCUGGGAGACAACCAGCAAUACCAAGAUUAGAAAUAUUGGGAUGAGUGGAGGUGAGGAGUAUUUCUCAGGCUUAUCUCAACCUUAUCUACAACUUCCAUUAAUUUCCCUGGAUCAAAAAGCCAUCUGGUUAACAAGACAUGCUUUGGGCAGAAAGUAGGAGGCAUCGUCAGCAUGGAAGGAUCAGAAUUAUCAUACCAGGAAUAUUGAGACCAGAAUAACAGAAAUGGGCUGAAACUCAGCAGCACAGAGUUCUCAGUGACUAAUAACAAAAACUUAUUCUUAAGCAGGGGCUUUGUCAGUUAGAAAAUACUGAGAAGGAGAAAGAUGUCGGUGUAUUGGCUGAUCACAGGAUGACUAUGAACCAUCAAUGUGACUUUUCUUGUGAAAAAGGAAAAUUUAGUGUAAAGAGGCACCAGGUGAAUCAUGAUGAGGCCUGGUCCCCUCUGGGACACAGGAGUUAGAGUGGACAUGAAAAAUCUAUUACACAAGAUUGCACUGAAAGGAAGCCCAGCAAGAAAAUCUACAAGAAGGCUAAACAAAAUGAAGGCACUGAGUAAUUGUAAAGUACGGGCGUCUAACUCAAUCUGUAGUACUGCCAGAAGAAUAAACACAAGAAAUAGUGAUGAAUGUAAUUCGUCUGCAAAUUAGGAGUUCUCUUAGAAACAGAAGUGCCCAGAAAUGUAGCCAGCCAUUUCCUAAGAUGACACACUAGAAGGACCUAAAGGAGAGACCUGCAAUAGCAUGGCAUGGUCUGGAAGCUGGUUCAUUUAGUGCAGGGCUCCCAGACAAGCUGUUAGUUAAGCUGCUGCAAGUUUUGUAGAUAGUUUGUUAGCACAAAAUUAAUCAGUGGAAGCUAGUUUGCUGAGAACAUAUGGAAAUGUGCUUUUGUAAUUGUUUUAGCUUACAGAAUCCUUCAGAGAUUUGAAGUUGUUCCAAGCUACAUUCACAGGCCUCAAGUUUGCUGAGGUAAAUUAAGCCAAAUUCCCGCUGAGGGAAUGCAGAUUUUAACAAAGUACCCCUGCACACAUUGGCACUGUUUUUUAACUAGACAAUUCAAAAGCAUGUUAUUAGAUGAUAGAGGGGUGAUUUCCCUGUGUUCUUGCCUAAAUGGGGCAAUUAGAGAUUUGGAAAGUAAAGAUAAUAAUUAUCAGUGUAUGCUUGGAGUAGCUGCUGUAGUCUUUUUUUGAACUGAUGUCCUUGCAGCCAUACUUCAAGACAAAGCCUGUGUCAUUGUUAUCAGAAACAUAUUGCUCUUAUACAAAAUAGAUGUCCACUGAUUUGCCAGUACAAAUAUUAGAUGCUUUUUGCUGGUAUUUCUAAUACCCGUUCAUCAGUGUUUUCAAUUCUGUAUUUGAACAGUAAUCUGUUUUAUGUAGGAAGUCAUAUCUACAGGAGGACAAACGCUUUUUCCCUCAUAGUCAAAAAGGGUUUGGGUAAUUUUGUGUGGGUCGAUGGGAUCAAAAAUAGAGAGGCAGCCCUAGGAAAACUAAAUCUAACAACAGUGCCACAUGAGAUAUGUUCUGCUUGGGAAUGUUGCUGUGCUACAAGGCACAGGGAGGUUGUAGCUCACCCACCUCCAACCACAGUACGCCCCUUUCAGAUUAUGCCUGCCCUACUCUUCCAUGCAGCAGAUGUUGAGUUGGAGUGGAUGGAAAAUGGAGAGGGCAUUUUUUGCUAUCACCUAAAACCCUGUAUGCUUCUGUGUUCCGUUUUCCUAAAUUGUGAGCAGAAGAGGGACUCUAUUGAGUGAGAUUAUGGCCUGAAGCAGAUGAGUCUGCAAGCAUGUUGUAGAUCUCUGGAGUUCCCUUUCCUUACCAUUUUGCAGCUUUUACUUUAGACUUGGAAUCACUGUGUUCCAUGCUGGUCCAACCUCAACAUGAUUAAGCGUGUUCCUGUAAGGAAGCAUCUAUUCUUACCCAUUUAAUACCUGCUACUGCACUAAUGUGAGGAGAUCUCUAGUUAAUGGCUUUUUCGACCUUGGGAGGUUGAUGCAGAGCUUGCUCCCUUUGUGCAGCACCUUAAUCUUCUCCUGAUGAUCGGGGAGUUUCAGAAUGAGAGACCCAAGCAGUGCAUUGUCCAAAGUCACUGAUGUGAUCAAAAUCACUGAUGCUUGAUGCAGCUCUCAUAGGGAGGAGCACCUAUUUCUCAUCAGCACUUAUUCCCUAACUUCCAUCAGGAGCUUAUCUACUGCUUCUGAUCCUAAAAAUGGGUGCUGGAGGCUUUAGGUCAUCUCCACUAAGGCUCCCGGCCUUACUCUGAACCUGUUAGAAACUGGAUGGGAUUAAAAACUGUGGGAGUUUCCUGUUCUAAAUAUGUUUUGUAAUGUGUUGUUAGAGAGAGGGACUGUCCACUCCUGCUUCUAGGUUAUAAAGAUUGCAACUCGAAGUUUUAGCUUAUAUUUAGCAGGCUACCACAGAAUUUCUUGUGAUUAUCAUGUUUCCCCAGAUGCUCUGGUUGUUCUGGGAAGUGCAAUCAACUCCCUAGUAGCAAUUUAUUCUCUUAUCACUGUUUUCUGUUGAGUUAAUUUUCUGUGGAUGCAUUUCCAGCCCUACAUUCUGAGACUUCUUAGAAACAGUGCAAAGUUCAGGUAAAAAAACCAGGUGGUCCUAACCAGGCAGGUCUUGCGUCCCCAUCUUCCUCAUUGCUGGGAGCAGUUUGAGCUGCAACUGGAUAUCUUUGGGCUACUCUCCUUAGGUUGCUUCCUCUUACACUCAUGUACCACCAGAUGCAAAGCAAGAGGGAAGCUGUUGGAGAAGACUGGAAGCAGUUUAUCCCUGUCCUUGUUUGUAAGGGAGGCACAAAGCACUGGGGAUCUAGAUCUGACUUUUUUUUUUUGUGGUUAAGCAAAAUGUCUGUUUUAAAAGGCUGGAAACUGUUUGGAGCAUCACUGGAAGCAAAUGAGCAGUUUUUGUGAUUUAAUAGCAGUGGAUAUUUCUUGCUUGGAGCCACGUGGGUCAAGGCUCAGUGGUAGAUAGGUCACACCAAAAUAUUUUUCAUGCAGAAAUCUUUAAGUGGAGAAAGAUAUAGAGAUAUAUAUAUAUGUCACUGCCAGUCAAACAACAAGUUAGAGAUAAAUUGGCAGUGGGAUGCAAUGAACUAACCACAGCGGGAAAUCAUAACUCUGUUCAGGCAGCACCACUAAUGCAGUCCUUGUGACUUGAAGUGGUCUACCUAUUAGAGUUGAAGGAACCAGUGAAAUGGGUACAACCUGGAGCAUAAUCCACUGAUAAAGUCUAAGUUUCAAUAAAAUAUUUUUAUUUACAGUAAGUCAUCUGUAUUUUCUGCCAAGGAAAAAGGCUACUUGGAGUAUCAGCACUUAUGUAAAUGCAGAGUAGAUGUUUAUCUUAUCUGGAAAUAAGUGCCAACUUCAGCUGGGUAAUUCUGGUUAAGGAGGUUGUUUAGGCUCAUAAUGCUGAAGGGCUUUGACAGAUAAGCCUGUGACUAACUGCAGUGCUUUCUGGUGCUGCUGCUGCAACCUCUCACAGCUCUCUUAGCUUGAACUGACAGUAGAAGUCAUUUUAACCCAUAUUCUGUGCUAUGAAGCAUAGCCAUGAGCCCAGGUGCCUCUUUGUGUCUGCUCCUGGGAGAAGAGCAACUCCUUCACCUUCCCCAAUGUCUCACGUGUAUGAGAGCUGGCCCUUGUUACCCGUGCCAGGGUGAGCUCUGCAGGGCUGCACAUCUUCAAUGUUGUAUAAAGAGGCUAUGAUGCUCAGUGGAGAGGAAGAUGGCUGUGAGCUCAGACAAUCCAACACAGAUAUAUCACCCUCUCCAUACCUUUAUUUCCUAAGAGAUGAGAGUAGUAAAUCUUACAUUCCUGUUCAGUUACUUCAAGAUGAAUGUUGAGUAAAAUAAUGAAUGAGAGGUAUUUGUAGAUUCUGCAUAUGACUCUUCAUGCAAAUUGAUGCAUUGCUUCUUUAAAACUGGUUUCACAUCACUUUUCUCUUAGAAACUUUUUGCCUGAGCAGAUAAAGCAGUCUUUCUCCCCAAGGACAUUGUAGGAUGUGUUUCCGUCUCCCCUUUCUUUGCCAGCAUGCAAGUCAGACUGAAAUGGGUUUUACUGUGGCAUUUUAGAAGGCUGGCACUUAGCAAAAUAAGGAUGGACCAAUUCAGCUGGCAGGCAAAUGUGCUAGUACAGCUACGGCAUAGUAAAGUUGCAGUCUCAAGCAACACUGUCCCUGGGCAUCUCGGUACAAGGACCCCAUGGAUCUGUUACUCCUCUGGGGCUGUCUGAGAAGCACAGAGAGGGGAGCUGCAUUGCUUGCUGUGUUUUCUGCCUCACUCUCUGUGCCAGCCUAAGGCUGGCUGUUCUGUGUUGUUGGGUGGGGCAGAGAGCUGGAGUUUGGCUGUGACAGGGUAGGGUGACACCGAUGAGGAGUCUGCAAGUGUAGGCAGGCACAAGGAGUUUGUUUGGAAUUCACUUCUGGCAGACUAUUCUGUCACUGUCUGGUCUGUGGAUGAGGUCCAAGGGCACUUUGGUCCCCAGGUACCAUGCAGGUUCUUGGUUUCCCAAUAGUGACCAGCAGCAAUAGGCACCACAGUGAAGAGGUGACAUCUAGCACAGCUGUGCCUGGGACAGGGGCUACUCAGCUCAUGCAGAGCAGCUUAUGACGUGUGGGAGUCUGACUUGGUCUCUAAGCAAAGCUGCUGAAACAGUUAUGGAAAUGCCAUUUUCUGAGCAGUGCCACCAUGGAGAAGGGGACUUGUGUCUGAGGAAAGGCACUUCUGCCAAGACCUGCCCUGGGUAGCAGCACUGACAUGGGGAAGCUCUUGCUGAGAUUCUUCUGUGCUUGCUCACAGUCACCCAUCUACCAGUUUACUGUCCUCACAGUACAGCUUCCACUAGAUCAAAAGUCAUACUUAGGUAAUAAAAAAAUAAUAAGACUUAGCAUGCAGCCUGGACUUGUGGCCUAUCCCAAUAUGGAGAAUGGAUAUCUUUGUUUUGAAUCAGUCAUUCCGGAGUGUGCUCUGGUAUUUCAUUUCCUCCCACAAGAAAUUUAAGUGGUUUUUAAGACUUCAUCUAUCUCUUGGGCUUUGGCUGUGGGAAUAACUGUAGUCAGAGCCAGGUUAUCUUUUUUGUGGUACUGUUGGCAGCAGCUCUGUUGCCUCUUCUAGUGUGUUGCACAACUCUCUGGGGGAGCACUGACAGUAGGACCCCCUUUUCCUUUUGUGACUCUGUUCUGAGAGCAGAGUACUGGAGGAGGGUAUCUGCUGGUGUCAACAAAAAUGAUCCUGAAGAUGUGGCUGCCCUGCAGUACCACCUGGAUUGCAAAGGGUGAGGUGUACAGACUUGCACUCAGACUGAUGGUGAAAAAGCAGUAAAUGGAAAAUAGCCAACAGCAGUUGUGCUGAAGAUCAUCUUGUCUCUCCCAUUUGUGGAUAUGAAGGCCUUCUUUGUCAGCUUGUCCAGGGAAUAUAUGAUUUACAAUCCCUGGUCAUUAAUUUCUGCAGCUUAUCAAUUACUGGUUAAUGAGGCCAUGAAAUGCAUACCAUCUUGUAGGAGAUCUUGGCUCAGGUUUCCCAGUUCGUAGGAUAUCGUUUGUGAAGACUUCUUUCAGAAAAUUGCUUCUGACAGAUAGAUUGCUUACUUGUGCACAUCCUUAUGCGUGUGAGACCUGGCAGAUCUGCUGCCUGCUGAGCAGCUUGCAGAGAGUCUAGCUGCUGCUUUAGUUUACUAGUGUUUUUCAUUUUUUUUCAUUUAUCUUCUAUUUAUGCAGCUAUCUUUAUUUACCCAUAUGGAUUAAAUUAGCCAUAAAUCAUAGACUUGUAGAAUAUCCUGAAUUGGAAAGGACAAGAAAGGAAAAAUUAAGUUAGUUAAACAGGAUCUUCCCCUCAGGAACCCAUGUUAGCUGUGACCAAUGUCAGCAUUGUCCUUCAGGUGUUUUUUGAUAACUCCCAGCACAAUCUUACCAGGCACUGAAGUGAGACUGUUGGGCCUGUAAUUACCAGGGCCUUCUUUCUUGCCCUUCUUGAAAAUCAGAACAAUGUUUGUCUCAGUUGACUGGAAGUUGACCUGUCUGGGUUGCCAAGGCCAUUGAAAAAUAAUUGAGAGAGAUCUCAUGAUGAUAACAGCAAGUUCCCUGAGUAUCCUGGCAUGAAUUUCAUUGUGUCCCAUGGACUUGCAUGCAUCCAGAUGGAGCAGCAAAUUCUGCACAAGCUUGAGGUUGGCUGGGAGUUGGUCUCUACUGCAGUCAUGAUCCUCCAACUCUGGGAUGCCAGAGCUCAUCGCCAGGAUUGAAGACAGAGGCAAAAGAGGCAUGAAACAUCUGUUUUGUCUGUGUCCCUCUUUGUAAGAUGACCACUCUCAUCAAGUAACGAACCAAUGUACUCUCUGAUCCUCCUUUUGUUGUUAACGUAUUAAAACAAACAAACAAAAAACAGCUUUAUAUCCCACAGUAUUGGCCAGCUUCAACCGUGAGCUUUUUCCACGUGCAUUUUCUCCCUACAAAGGCAGACAGCAAUCCUGUAGCUGUCUAUUGUUGCCCAAUCUUGCUUCCAGCAGCCAUAUACUUUCCUUUUCCAUGUGAGCUCUAGAAGAUUUCUGUUCAACUAAGCCAACCUUCUGCCCUGCCUGCUGCACUUCUGAUGCUUUGGAAUGACCUGUUCCUGUGCUCUCAGGAGGUGACUAACACUGAUGGGCCCCAUGCCUUCAAAAGCAGUUUCCCAGGGGGAAAUGGUGGGGAGGUUAUCCAUUUCCUUCGUAGGCACCAACCCAUGGCAUACUGCCAUACAUUUGGAGAAGAGCAGACUGGUGCUGGUACAGCUCCCGUGAGAGCUGAGCCUCUGGUUUACCUUCUCAUCCUUUCAAGCUGGGCUCAGGUGCAACUUAGAUGCAUCUCAGCAACCUGCCAGGAGAGCUUCGGGGGCAGACAUGCCAUCGCACACAGCAAAGCUGCAACUGCCUCCCACUUCUAGCUCUAGCUUCAAAAUGCUGAUCAGAGAAAGGUGCUAAAGUGGUGAUGACUGUUCUGGCACUGCCUGUGGGUUCCCAGCACAGCCAGAAGUUUGCAAAUGUCCCCUGGAAGUUCCUGUGCAGAGUCUGAUGUUGAGAUAUUCCAGGUGUGUGUGCUUUGUGUGAGCAGGCUCUUCUUUUCUCCCUUUGUGAUAGGGGAAGUUGCACUGCAUCCGUGGUGCUGUGGUUUGGGAUAUAUUGGCCUUAGACUCUUGAAGUAGUCAGAGCUCAAUCUCCUGGUAAGCAGGAAUCUCUCCUAGAUCUGACUCAAGAGGCAGUGUACCCAGUGUUAGACCACUGGCAAAAGAAGAUGAAUUCCAUAAUUAGGAGGAUGUUGGAAAAUACAUUGGGCAAUCUGAUAUUUUCUGGCAUGACUUAUAGAUGUUGGUGAAGUCCUUGGAUUCCUGACCCUGGUUGUUAAAUUUCUCAGUCCUCACAUGACUACUGUUUCCAUGUGCAGUAAUCUCCAGAGGGUGGUGUGUGUAAUCCUGGAAGUUUAGCUAGUAGGAACUUGGGUAUUGUGCUCUAGAGAACAAAGGAAAACACUUCCUAAGCACAUCCUUGCAGUUCAGGGGGAGAUGGAAACCUUUUUCAGUUAGAUGUGCACUGUAGUUAAGAUUGCAACUAUAUUUAUUCAUUAGCUAUUGAUAGUAAUUAUUUCUCUUUAGAUUUUCCGGUACUUUGAACGAAAAGGAGUUCAGUAAUAGUGCAGUUAUGAAAUACUUUAAUGACGCUAUAGGACGUUCUGCCACUGCUGGUGUUGCAUGUUAGCUUAUGUGGGUUUUUUUUUUUUUUCCCAAAACUGGGAUAAUGAGUUUUCAUAUGUGAAGCAGCUACACAAAGCUUCUCUGAUUAGGAAGUGGCAACUGUGAGGAGCUGUGCUGGAGAUGGGUGUGCCUGUGAGCAGCCACAAAGCAGAAUAAGCGCCAGUCAUGCUGCUUCUUGGUAGAUGUGCUGGGGCAUACAUUUAAAUUAUUCAGUGCUGGAUUAAAAUAAAUUGAAGGAAACACUGUCUUCACAGCACACAAUCCAAGUGCAAUGAAUUACUACAAGAUAUUUUAGAGGCUGAAAAUGUAUCUGGUCAUGGAGGUUAGAUACAAAAAGGUCCAUGACUGACAGUCCUCACAAGUCAACUACUUUGCUUGCCAAGAGGUGUAAAGCAGUGGCUUCUGAUGUGUAUGUGUGUAUAUAUAUGCACCUUUUUUCUUCCUCCAGAAGAAUCUGCUUUUUACUGCUGUCAGGAGCAGGAUAGUGGGCUAGGUAAAGUAGCUUUCCUGGGUGAACGCUGUUACGUAAGAGUUGAGCACCGUGCAUGGUUUUGAAGAGAAAUCUUGGUCUCCUGGCAGAUGUCUGACCACCAUGUCCUGCUAUGUCCUUGCCACCGCAGGAGCUUUGUACUGUGACCAAGGAAAUACUAGCAGAGCUUUCCACAAGCUUUACCAAUAGAGGUUAAUUAAAAAAAAAAAAAAAUAGUGUAAGGUCUCCAGGGAAUUUUGAAAAGUAGGAUGUCUCGCUACUCCUUGCUCUCCUUCUUUACCUUGAGAAUGGAGCAUGAGCACUGGGAUUCCAGAAGAAGAGGACUUCAGAAGAGAGAAACUGAGUGGAGUGAACACAUGUUCAGGUGAAACUACGAGAUCUUUUAGAAAGCUAAUGACAGCUGCUGCCUAUUAGUAAGAAUUACCUGAUAGUGCAACUACUGCAACCUGAUAGCCUGCAACUUUUUAAUGCUUCAGGUUUUGCUGAGAUUGUUUUCAGCAUUAGUUUGGGAGGUUUCCUUGUAGUUCUCAAUUGUUUUCUGUUCCCUUUCUUGAUGCUUGGAUUGCACAAGCUAUAUGUGGGCAGAGUGAGAGGAAGUGAAGGAAAAGGAAGCCUCACAAAGUUCUUGUGGUUUUACCCACAAGAGAAGGCAGAUUUCUCCUAUUUGUACACUGUUUUUCUCUCUCUGGGAUAAUUACUGCUCUGUCAGGAAAAGAUGGUGGGUAUUCCUUGGUUGUGAGCUUUCCUAUCAAGUCUAUAGUGUGAAUUUGUCACCAGCUCUUAGAAGGUAGAUCUGGUGUACUUGUUAACUUAUGUGGCUUAGGGAGAAUUAUCAUCAUCUUGUUGUGAGGUGUUCCUAAGAAAAGACUGAAGAUUUGCCAGGAGCAUGUACUGCAUCAGUUGUAAGACAUUAAUACAAUAAAUAAAGGAUCUAACACAUGGAGUUUGAGAGAGUCUUAACUCAGUGAAUCUUGAUUCAAUUUUCUGUUAGAACCACUCUACGCAACAGUUUCUUACUUGAAAUAAGAAUGUAUGUAGGAGGAUAACCCAUGUGUGAACCUAAUCCUGAUGUUCCUUCCAAAGCGCUCAGUGCUACCUCCUGCUAGAGGCAGACUUAAUCUCAAAUAGCCUUUAAUGUUUGAUUGAGUGCUGCUUUUCUUACACACACAUACAGCUGUUGGCAAACGCAUUUUUUUUCCUACCCUUUUUAUUAGGAGAGUCUCAUGCUGAAAGAUCAGCGCU
This 10877-nucleotide long non-coding RNA is filed under the name Gallus gallus (chicken). RNAcentral's name for it is "lncRNA (ENSGALG00010014422.1)". The record is from RNAcentral. Lineage: Eukaryota; Metazoa; Chordata; Aves; Galliformes; Phasianidae.